GCCAUGCUUGUGUCCAUAACAAAUCGUGUAUGCUAGAUUGAUUCUUAUUUUACUUGGGUUUAAUAUCAGGUGGUUAUAACAAAUCUGGAACCUGGCUUAGUGAUGGAUCUUGAUGCAAAGAAAUGGCCUGAUGCACAAACAGAUGAUACUUCGUCUUUCUACAAGGGGCUGGAAGCAGCAAGCCAGGAAUGGCCAUUCCCGCUCUCUUGAGGAAAAGACAGAGAAGACUUGGAGGAAGUCGAAGGUGAACGAUGUUCGGCCUUCCAUGUUGGUGAAGCAAGCCUUUCUUUGAUUCUAAUUAUUAUCCAUAUUUUAUAUAUACUACUGAUAUUAUGAUGAAUUGCCAUGUAGUUUAGUUCUUAAUGUAGUUUCUUGCUCUAGUAAUUUGAGUUAUUUAUCUGAAA
Ipomoea nil (Japanese morning glory) is the source of this 404-nucleotide long non-coding RNA. RefSeq lists it as uncharacterized. The transcript has 2 exons. NCBI's taxonomy places the organism in Eukaryota, Viridiplantae, Streptophyta, Magnoliopsida, Solanales, Convolvulaceae. The record is from RefSeq and is a predicted model, not a curated record.